RNAcentral lists this unclassified non-coding RNA (1856 nucleotides) under Hevea brasiliensis (rubber tree). The record is from RNAcentral. Lineage: Eukaryota; Viridiplantae; Streptophyta; Magnoliopsida; Malpighiales; Euphorbiaceae.
AGAGUCACGAUCACAAUCAAGAAAGAUGUCAUGGACAUUGAUGAAAUUCUUGGAGGUUUCUCCCUUUGUCCACAAAGACGAACGUGACCGACUGUAAAAUGUUGCCUUUCGACAGGAAAUGGUUGUAGCUAAUGCAUCCCUGUUCACAAAGCCUUGCAUUAAUAUGGCUCCUGUGUCAAUAUUUUGAGCUAUAGCCACUGCCAAACCUUUGUCGUCCCAUUUUACACUGUCUAACAAUGUCUCAACCUAAAAUUUAGACAGUUAGCUAGUUUGCUCCUGCUUAAAAUUAUACGGAAAUCAAAUAACAGAAGGAUAUGAGCAAAUAGGAUUUGAAAUAAAUGCAUGUGCAGUGGCAUGUAUUUUUUUGCUCCCCAUCAUAUACAAAACUAACAUGAGGGCCACAUUAGCAUUACAGUAUAUGAUCGCAUUAUUUAUAAAUGUUGAAACUCUUGACAAAGAAAUCACCAAGAACAGCAAGAAGCUAAUUUGCAUAACAUGAGAAUUGCAUUCAUAAACAUUUAAACUAGCCAGCUAAGCCAAGAUGGCAAAAAACAAGCAGGCUUGAACAGUAUUGAGCCUUUCUUUUAAAAAACAUAAACAAAGUUAUUCCGUGGUGAAAGAUCAAACUGGACCAUCAAUGAAAUGUUUAGAGCUAAAAGUAACACAAAGGCCUUCUCCCUCUAUAAUGAUGUAAUACAGAUUACAGAACUAUAAUUGAGGAUGCAAACCAGAUACAGAAGCAUAUUGUAAUAUGCUAUUCAGCCUUCUGCAGUGCAAGUUAUUUUCAAAACCAUAUUAUAUUUGUGAUUCCAUAGCAUUAAAAAACUUAAUUAUGUGUUUCUACCAUCUUAUAAAAAGGGGGAACAGGUGGCGGGAAAUGUGAAGUCCAGAUGUAGCUCAAAUAAUAAUUAACAGCAUAUUAUUGGGCAACGAUGGAUACCUUCAAGAGAUGGUCAACAAAAGAUGGGAAACCCAUCCAUCAUAUUUCCUUCCCUUUCUUUGAUUUUCCAGACAAGUAACAAUCUCUACCAUAAUAAACACGGUAGACUUCUGACUGUCUGGUUGAUCAUGGUCAUUCAAUUCAAGUGAAGGAAAUAUUAAAAACUUCAACAAGCAAAAGCAUGAUCUUGUAAAGCACAGUGCAAAAGUCUUGCCAUACUAAGCAAAAGUACCAGUGUACAUUUAGGAAAUUACCCUUUCUUUUUACAAGGGAGCAAAAACCAUUUUGGUAGAGAAAUCGCGAUUGGUUUAAAACUUGGCCUACCCAUUAAUAACUUUUAUCUAAAUGCAAAACACACAUGUGAACCAGUGAAUGUUUGCAGUGGCCAUAUGAGAGAUAUGUAGAGUCCAGAUGUAGCUCAAUGAUAAUUGAAAACAUAUUAUUGAGCAACGAUGGACACCCGUAAGAAAUGGUAAAUAGAAAGAUGGGAAACCCAUCCAUCAAAUUUCCUUCCCUCUCUUUGAUUUUCCAGACAUGUAACAAUCCCUACCAAAACAACACACAGUAGGCAUCUGACUAUGUCUGGAUACCACAAUACAGCAAUAAACACAAAUGCAUAGAGAUUAAAGCUAAGGCUUUAUCAAACAGAAAGAUGGGUAAAUUAAGUACCUUGGAUUCGACACACAGAUCUCUAUCAGAAUUCUUCGCAGAAGCAAAAACCAAACGACAGUUCAUGCUCUUCCAGGCAUUGGCUCGGCUGCAAUCACCAACAGGGAAGAAGGCACGUCCUCUUGAUGAAAACCCAAGAGAUUGAAUGCAGCGCAAGGAUGAAACCGCCAUUAAAAGUACAAAAAGCUAUGCUCUUUCUUUGCUCAAAUCAAGCUCAUCCUGCAACUCUGGUUUAGGAUAGGGCUUC